AUUGAAGUUGUAACUCGCUGUUGACAAAAGCUGUUCAAGUCUGGCUAAAGCUCUUGAAUCGGAUAACAGUCUGGAAGAGCUGAAUAUGAACAAUAAUAAUCUGCAGGAUUCAGGAGUAAAGCUACUCUGCAGUGGACUGAAGAGUGUAAAUUGGAGAUACUGAGAAACGAAUAUGCUUAAUUUGCAUCUCAUUUAGUUUGAAGAAUAAGGGGAGUUGAAGUUUACCAUAAUAAAUUCAUGA
This is a long non-coding RNA of Sinocyclocheilus grahami, 241 nucleotides long. RefSeq lists it as uncharacterized. The record is from RefSeq and is a predicted model, not a curated record. The transcript has 3 exons. Lineage: Eukaryota; Metazoa; Chordata; Actinopteri; Cypriniformes; Cyprinidae.